GGUUGUAGCUCAGUUGGUAGAGCAUUUGCCUUGCAUGUGUGAGGACAUGGGUUCAAUCCUCAGCACCA
RNAcentral lists this transfer RNA (68 nucleotides) under Marmota monax (woodchuck). Its description in RNAcentral is "tRNA.Ala". The record is from RNAcentral. Lineage: Eukaryota; Metazoa; Chordata; Mammalia; Rodentia; Sciuridae.